This 76-nucleotide transfer RNA is filed under the name Rhodospirillaceae bacterium. Its description in RNAcentral is "tRNA-Thr". It matches the Rfam family "tRNA". Rfam says of the family: Transfer RNA (tRNA) molecules are approximately 80 nucleotides in length. Their secondary structure includes four short double-helical elements and three loops (D, anti-codon, and T loops). The record is from RNAcentral. Lineage: Bacteria; Pseudomonadati; Pseudomonadota; Alphaproteobacteria; Rhodospirillales; Rhodospirillaceae.
GCUCCUAUAGCUCAGUUGGUAGAGCAGUUGAUUUGUAAUCAUCAGGUCCGCGGUUCGAGUCCGUGUUGCGGCACCA